GAUGAAGAACGUAGCGAAAUGCGAUACGUAAUGUGAAUUGCAGAAUUCAGUGAAUCAUCGAAUCUUUGAACGCAUAUUGCGCUCUUUGGUAUUCCGAAGAGCAUGCUUGUUUGAGUAUCAGUAAACACCUCAAAGACUUCAAUUUGUUUUGAAUGGCUUUGGACUUGAGCAAUCCCAACACCAGUCUUUACGAUCGGUGGAGGGUUGCUUGAAAUGCAGGUGCAGCUGGACAUUCUCCUGAGCUAAAAGCAUAUUUAUUUAGUCCCGUCAAACGGAUUAGUACUUUUGCUGCAGCUAACAUAAAGGGAGUUUGACCGUAUUGGCUGACUGAUGCAGGAUUUCACAAGGGUCGGCAACGAUUCUUGUAAAACUCGAUCUCAAAUCAAGUAAGACUACCCGCUGAACUUAAGCAUAUCAAUAAGCGGAGGA
This 429-nucleotide unclassified non-coding RNA is filed under the name soil metagenome. Its description in RNAcentral is "partial contains 5.8S ribosomal RNA, internal transcribed spacer 2, and large subunit ribosomal RNA". The stretch from base 1 to 120 matches the Rfam family "5.8S ribosomal RNA", at positions 35 to 154 of the family's 154-position model. The record is from RNAcentral.